RNAcentral lists this unclassified non-coding RNA (338 nucleotides) under soil metagenome. RNAcentral describes it as "partial contains 5.8S ribosomal RNA, internal transcribed spacer 2, and large subunit ribosomal RNA". The stretch from base 5 to 119 matches the Rfam family "5.8S ribosomal RNA", at positions 40 to 154 of the family's 154-position model. The record is from RNAcentral.
GAUGAGAACGUAGCGAAAUGCGAUAAGUAAUGUGAAUUGCAGAAUUCAGUGAAUCAUCGAAUCUUUGAACGCACAUUGCGCCCGCCAGUAUUCUGGCGGGCAUGCCUGUCCGAGCGUCAUUUCAACCAUCAAGCCCCCGGGCUUGUGUUGGGGACCUGCGGCUGCCCGCAGGCCCUGAAAACCAGUGGCGGGCUCGCUGUCACACCGAGCGUAGUAGCAAUCACCUCGCUCAGGGCGUGCUGCGGGUUCCGGCCGUUAAACAGCCUUACAAAACCCAAGGUUGACCUCGGAUCAGGUAGGAAGACCCGCUGAACUUAAGCAUAUCAAUAAGCGGAGGA